GGACGUGUAAUUUUAUUAAUAAUUUCUAGACAAAAACAAUGAAAACACUGUAAAGAAAAUAACGCUUGAAGAUCGAGUGUAUUCUUUAGUUAGAAAUGAAACACACACACACACACACUGUGUAUAGCAGCUGACCUAUCGGAUGUGAUACUAACACAUUAUUUACCGUCAGAUGAUCCUGGCAACUCAACCGUUGUUCCCUCGAUUCAUUACGCAUUUCUGGACUGAAUGCGAUACUGCAGGCAUUUCUUAAACUUUAAGAAUGUAUUUUCCACACACACGUUUGGGACGCUGCAUUUACAUAAGUAAAUAAAACCAUUGAGAUAAAUUCACCUGGAAAUAAAAACAAAAAUAUAUGUAUUAUUUAUACUCAGUUCCUUAAUGAGUUUUCAUUUAAAUUACGUUUUCCCCCUUAGCGAGUGUGCGGGUGUGCGCAUGUGCGAAUGUGAACCUUUGACGCGUCAUGAGUUCUCUUUGAUGCGUCACAGAUAAGAUAAUUCGCAGAGGGCAUAUAGGGACCCUAAACUCACUAGGAUUGUGAGUGAACGUCCGGCGACUUUUGAGAUUGGUUGGAGAACAAGGAAAAACAAGAAACCCUUUAUAUUUAAAUUAUGAAACCAUCGGCAAGAGAUAUAUUUGACCGAUCACAGCCAGCUGAUGAAACAACAGCCAAGGAAGAGCGGCACCGGCUGCUGGCUUGCAUUGUAUUGGUCAGAGUCCUGAGGAAAUGUAAAGCUCUCCAAAGCUGCACUAAAGACGAGCAUGCCACCCACACUAAAGUGCUGCUAGACCAGACAAUGGAGGGCCUCAGCAUCCCAAAGAGCGCAGAUGUGUCAAAAACGCUCGUCAAACAGAUCAGCAGGGCUGUCCUCAGUGACCUUCAAAAGGCACUGACUGCUGAGAAGCUGAAAAACAUACUUACUACACCAGAUCCAGCUGUGGACAUAAUAAUUGUGAAGGCUUUGCAGUUCUGUAUGAAGGAAGUCCUGGAGCAGGUUGCAAGGAAGCCAAGGAGUUUUUGGCGUGACGAUACCAUCAAAUUCCUAAUAUUUGCUGCUGGAAUUGUCUGUACCUUUCUUUUGCUGGCAAUCCUCCUCUGACAACAGGUCACAGCUGCUGAUGGAAGUUUGCAACAGGUGCCUUUGUUUUGUUUUUUUUCUUCCUUUUCUUCUCGUCUACCUUCUCCUUAAUGGUAGAGCUUAUUUGCUCCCAAUACCAACUCUUUUCUCUACACAAGGGUUGUUACACCCCCCCCCAGCAAUUAGAAGGCAGUCCUCAGCUGGACCCCAGGUGACCCUCCUCCCGCUACCCCCUUUCACUAUACAUAGCUACUUUAGGUAGUAAGCAGGUUGUGGAGGAAUUGUUAGACACCCUUACCUUACAGCAUUGGUACAAUCAAUAAACAAAAUUAGUGCUUGAAGCAAACAAGAUAGAACAUGCAGUAUUACUGGCUAGUCAUCCUCUGGAGAUGGUCCUAGACAAGGGAAAAACAGUCAAAAACAC
Long non-coding RNA from Oreochromis aureus, 1503 nucleotides. NCBI's taxonomy places the organism in Eukaryota, Metazoa, Chordata, Actinopteri, Cichliformes, Cichlidae. The record is from Ensembl.